AGUAUGGGAGUGAGAAUGUUGGCAUGAGUAGCGAGAUGUGGGUGAGAAUCCCACAGGCCGUAAACCCAAGGUUUCCAGGGGAAGGUUCGUCCGCCCUGGGUUAGUCGGGACCUAAGCUGAGGCCGAAAGGCGUAGGUGAUGGACAACAGGUUGAUAUUCCUGUACUACCGAUAACCGUUUGAGAGAAGGGAUGACACAGUAGGAUAAGCUAAGCACACUGUUGGUUAUGUGUGCCCAAGCAUUGAGGCAGUCAAAGUAGGCAAAUCCGCUUUGAUAAUGCUGGGAUGUGAUGGGGAGCGAAAUUUAGUAGCGAAGUAGCUGAUUUCACACUGUCAAGAAAAGUCUCUAUCGAGGUUAAAGGUACCCGUACCGCAAACCGACACAGGUGGGUGAGGAGAGUAUCCUAAGGCCAGCGAGAGAACUGUUGUUAAGGAACUCGGCAAAAUGACCCCGUAACUUA
RNAcentral lists this ribosomal RNA (460 nucleotides) under Clostridioides difficile. RNAcentral's name for it is "partial 23S ribosomal RNA". It matches the Rfam family "Bacterial large subunit ribosomal RNA", at positions 1279 to 1737 of the family's 2925-position model. The record is from RNAcentral. Lineage: Bacteria; Bacillati; Bacillota; Clostridia; Peptostreptococcales; Peptostreptococcaceae.